CCUACGGGUGGCAGCAGUGAGGAAUAUUGGUCAAUGGGCGGAAGCCUGAACCAGCCAAGUAGCGUGCAGGAUGACGGCCCUACGGGUUGUAAACUGCUUUUAUACGGGAAUAACUCGUCUUACGAGUAGGGCUUUGCAUGUACCGUAUGAAUAAGGACCGGCUAAUUCCGUGCCAGCAGCCGAGGUAAUACGGAAGGUCCGGGCGUUAUCCGGAUUGAUUGGGCUUAAGGGGAGCGUAGGCCGCAUGUCAAGCGAGCUGUGAAAUGUCCGGGCUCAACCCGGGCCUUGCAGCGCGAACUGGCGUGCUUGAGUCCGCUGGAGGCAGGCGGAAUUCGGCGUGUAGCGGUGAAAUGCUUAGAUAUGACGAAGAACCCCGAUUGCGAAGGCAGCUUGCUGCAGCGGAACUGACGCUGAUGCUCGAAAGCGCGGGUAUCGAACAGGAUUAGAUACCCUAGUAGUC
Molecule: ribosomal RNA, 460 nt
Filed under: uncultured bacterium
Lineage: Bacteria
Description: partial 16S ribosomal RNA
Rfam family: Bacterial small subunit ribosomal RNA
Source: RNAcentral